RNAcentral lists this microRNA (21 nucleotides) under Caenorhabditis elegans. RNAcentral describes it as "cel-miR-2953-3p". Lineage: Eukaryota; Metazoa; Nematoda; Chromadorea; Rhabditida; Rhabditidae. The record is from miRBase by way of RNAcentral.
GAUCACUAGCUCUUCUGUAGC